This 66-nucleotide transfer RNA is filed under the name Acanthopsyche nigraplaga. Its description in RNAcentral is "tRNA-Tyr". It matches the Rfam family "tRNA". Rfam says of the family: Transfer RNA (tRNA) molecules are approximately 80 nucleotides in length. Their secondary structure includes four short double-helical elements and three loops (D, anti-codon, and T loops). Lineage: Eukaryota; Metazoa; Arthropoda; Insecta; Lepidoptera; Psychidae. The record is from RNAcentral.
AAUAAAAUGGCUGAGUUUAAAGCGGUAAAUUGUAAAUUUACACACAAGAGUAGUUCUUUUUUAUUA